Molecule: small nuclear RNA, 128 nt
Filed under: Sinocyclocheilus rhinocerous
Lineage: Eukaryota; Metazoa; Chordata; Actinopteri; Cypriniformes; Cyprinidae
Description: U1 spliceosomal RNA (ENSSRHG00000040489.1)
Rfam family: U1 spliceosomal RNA
About the family: U1 is a small nuclear RNA (snRNA) component of the spliceosome (involved in pre-mRNA splicing).
Source: Rfam by way of RNAcentral
AUACUUACCUGGCAGGGUAGACACCAUGAUCAAGAAGGUGGUUCACCCAGGGUGAGGCUCGGCCAUUGCACUCUGGUCUCGACUGCAUAAUUUAUGGUAGUGGGGAACUGUGUUCGCACUCUCCCCUG